RNAcentral lists this ribosomal RNA (661 nucleotides) under Sarcocystis sp. RNAcentral describes it as "SSU rRNA". It matches the Rfam family "Eukaryotic small subunit ribosomal RNA", at positions 455 to 1077 of the family's 1831-position model. Lineage: Eukaryota; Apicomplexa; Conoidasida; Eucoccidiorida; Sarcocystidae. The record is from RNAcentral.
CUCAGGGAGGUAGUGACAAGAAAUAACAACACUGGAAAUUUUAUUUCUAGUGAUUGGAAUGAUGGGAAUUUAAACCCCUUUCAGAGUAACAAUUGGAGGGCAAGUCUGGUGCCAGCAGCCGCGGUAAUUCCAGCUCCAAUAGCGUAUAUUAAAGUUGUUGCAGUUAAAAAGCUCGUAGUUGGAUGUCUGCUGGAAGCAAUCAGUCCGCCCUAUUUGUAGGGUGUGCACUUGAUGAAUUCUGGCAUCUAUGUCCCAAUGAUAUACGCGAUGGCGUUAUUAAUAUAUAGGUUAAUCCUGUAUAUUAUAUACCCAUUUGUGUAAUAUUGGGAUAAUACCGUUACUUUGAGAAAAUUAGAGUGUUUGAAGCAGGCUAAUUGCCUUGAAUACUGCAGCAUGGAAUAACAAUAUAGGAUUUCGGUUCUAUUUUGUUGGUUUCUAGGACUGAAAUAAUGAUUAAUAGGGACAGUUGGGGGCAUUCGUAUUUAACUGUCAGAGGUGAAAUUCUUAGAUUUGUUAAAGACGAACUACUGCGAAAGCAUUUGCCAAAGAUGUUUUCAUUAAUCAAGAACGAAAGUUAGGGGCUCGAAGACGAUCAGAUACCGUCGUAGUCUUAACCAUAAACUAUGCCGACUAGAGAUAGGAAACUGUCAUUUUCUGACUU